UACGGAGGAUGCGAGCGUUAUCCGGAUUUAUUGGGUUUAAAGGGUGCGUAGGCGGGCUUUUAAGUCAGCGGUAAAAAUUCGGGGCUCAACCCCGUCCGGCCGUUGAAACUGGGGUCUUGAGUGGGCGAGAAGAAGGCGGAAUGCGUGGUGUAGCGGUGAAAUGCAUAGAUAUCACGCAGAACCCCGAUUGCGAAGGCAGCCUUCCGGCGCCCUACUGACGCUGAGGCACGAAAGUGCGGGGAUCGAACAGG
Molecule: ribosomal RNA, 251 nt
Filed under: uncultured bacterium
Lineage: Bacteria
Description: partial 16S ribosomal RNA
Rfam family: Bacterial small subunit ribosomal RNA
Source: RNAcentral